This is a long non-coding RNA of Labeo rohita (rohu), 720 nucleotides long. RefSeq lists it as uncharacterized. NCBI's taxonomy places the organism in Eukaryota, Metazoa, Chordata, Actinopteri, Cypriniformes, Cyprinidae. The record is from RefSeq and is a predicted model, not a curated record. The transcript is spliced from 2 exons.
CAAAUGCAUGAUGACCGAUAAAGUUAUAACACUGCACUAAAUGACUAACGGGUAUGGGGCAGCGCAAUCGAUACGCUUUGUAUUUGAGCCUAGCGUGACGUGUCAGUGAGGUAACGAAGCUUCGUUUUCAAAGAUCACGUGACAGCCUCAUUUCGAGCAAUGCUUCGGAACACUGUUUCGGAACACUAGUGUGUUGAAAACUCGAAACGUGUGUCGACACUAGGUGUCGAGCUACCCAUCCCUAGCCAUCAAAGUAUGUUGAAUGAUGUUGGUAUGGUUUGUAGUGAACUGAAGCUCAUGUUAGCGUAUUUCCCUAUAGAACGACACUUUGACGGAAAUCCCGUGGCUGGUAUUUGGCUGAGGUUGCUCCUCUGCAGGAGCUGAGUGCCUAAGGCAGUGGCGGAUUUCUGGUGUUGGUGCUUCUUUCACGAGUGCUGGCUGGAGUGGUUGUGUUUGUGUGUGUGUGUGUGUGUGUGUGUAUGUGUGUCACAAGUUUAAGUGAGGGGUGUUUUGCUGUGGAGGCCGAUUGCGCCCUUAUGCCCUGCUGUCAAGCCUCGGUUCCUGUACUGGAGCUCUUGGAUGUCCUUGAUGACCCAGGUUGCCCACUAUUGUAUUUGUGAAGUGCGAUCUCUGUGAUUUUUGACCUCUGCGAUUGUCUCUCCUCUUUUCUCAUUUUUGUAAUAAUUCCCUUUUUUAUUGUAAUAAACUUGAUCUUUUGUA